This is a long non-coding RNA of Hemicordylus capensis (graceful crag lizard), 2301 nucleotides long. RefSeq lists it as uncharacterized. NCBI's taxonomy places the organism in Eukaryota, Metazoa, Chordata, Lepidosauria, Squamata, Cordylidae. The transcript has 4 exons. The record is from RefSeq and is a predicted model, not a curated record.
UGGCAAGCCUCAGGAAGAAGGCUGGCAGUCAGAGUGGCCACUACAGCUCUCUGCAGCAGACCCUCUUCCCAGGCCAGACAGCUCAGCCUUUGCCAGUAUCCAGGACUCCACAUGCACAGACAGCCCCAGAGAGAUGGUAAAUGGCAAUAUUAACCAUCUGUUCCAGGAAGGAGGGGGAAACCAGGAUGUUGGGUGAAUUAAAACACUGAAUGAGGAGGAAAUCUACAAUUCCACCAGCAAGAUGAGAGGCCAGCAUAAGUGUCCAUGUGCCAUUCAAGCCAACUGUUUUAUCCACAAUUACAUUAAAUGACCCAGGGACUGGAAAAGGAGGAAUGGAACAUAAGGCACUGGAUGGAUGGUGGAGCCAAGAGAAGCCAGGGAUCAAGAAUGUUCUCCUCAGGUUCCCAGCUGUUGUGCUUGGAUGACCAGCCUCCCCACUUCACCAGAUACUCCAGCUUGCCCUUACAGAGCCGCUUGCUGAGGAUGCACUCAGCGAUGAAAACCUGCUCUCCCAUGCUACUCAGCUCCUCCACGUGUUGCCUGGUUCAGUUCCCUCCUGCUCUGACUUGGUUGUGGUGGAGACAGCAUUGUGACUGCACAAGGCGAGAGACCCCGAGAGAGAGAGAACGCUCUCCUCCUCACCCACUGCCGUCCUCCCUUCGCCAGGCACAAGCAUGAGCAUGCCCAUUCCCCGCAAUAAUUCAAGCACUGGAGAUGCUGAGCACAGUGAUCUAUCUCCAGAGAUGGAAAACCAUGAUUGUAAAUAACUUUACAUCUUGCAAAAGUACUAUGUGGUUAAUAACAUAAAACAUUUAGGGAAUGUUCUGCAUUUGCAGUUGUCACCCAAACAAGUUUAUGUACCUUUUGCCAUGCUAAAGGCAACCCUUUUCGCACAAUCAGGAAAAUGCCAGCCUUGCCAUUCUCUUGAAAAGUAUUGGAAAACGCUGAAUUACAGGCAAUAGCCCCUACACACAUAAAGGGAGAAGCCUUGGUUUGUUUGUUUUAAAACGUAAUGGAAAAUAAAGAAUUUUUUUAAGUCGGACAUACUUCGGGCUAAGCCAGAAUGUGCAGCCAUGAUUCAGGGAAAAACAGAGUCAUGUCUGUACUGGUCCCUAAUCGCCCGCAGGGACGUCAGGGUAAAUGCAGCUAAUAUGUGGACUGGCACACUCCAUUCCAGAGUAGAUUCAAACCAAAAGCCAUGUGUGUAAAGCCUCAUGUCCAAGGCUCUAAUUGACACAACAGGAAAACAUGUUUAAUGAGCCCCUGGUGGCGCAGUGGUAAAACUGCCGCCCUGUAACCAGAAGGUUACAAGUUCGAUCCUGACCAGGGGCUCAAGGUUGACUCAGCCUUCCAUCCUUCUGAGGUUGGUAAAAUGAGUACCCAGAAUGUUGGGGGACAAUAAAAUCAUUGUAAACCGCUUAGAGAGCUUCCAACUAUAGAGCGGUAUAUAAAUAUAAGUGCUAUUGCUAUUGCUAACCACAAAUGAUGUAUGUCGAUGGAUGUACUGACUUGCUUUUAACCUAUAUAAACUGGCAACUGCGUACCCUGAGUGUGCAAGCGCUUGUCAGACAUCUGACUUGUACUCUGCCUUCAUGAUCAUGAAAAAAAGCUAAUUUGAGCACACAUUCUCAUUGUGUUGACUUGUAAAAAGGGAAUUUCUCUGUCAGGCAACAGGUUCUAUUGCGGGAACCUUGUCUAAUCCUCUUUAGUUCGGUUAGACGCCCCAUUCUCUGACAAUUUGAUGGAAGGAUGAUUGCAAGGGGCUGAAUUAAGAGGCCAAGGUUCCAGAGGAUUUUCCCGCAACAUCACUGCCCUGAGCCAUUUUGGAAGGGUGGUAUAUAAAUCUAAAUCCAAUAAAUAAAUAAAUAAUAUCAGCAUAAAACAAAAUCAAAGCAGUAAAACUAGAUAACAAAACAUCAGGUUACCGUCUCCAGUUACCACCAGUACAUCUCGUGGCGGCUUGGAACCAGGCCUUCUCUGUAGCUGCUCUUGGGCUAUGGAAUGCACUCCUGACAGCAAUUUGUGGUUUGGGUUCAUCAUUGUUGGCCUUCAAGAGAACCCUUAAAACUUUUUAUUUGGUCUAGCCUUCCAAAGUUUUUAAAUUGUUCUUAAAUAUUUUUAACUGUUUUUAAAUGGUUUUAAACUGUAUUUAAAUAUGUUUAAUAUUGUUUUAAGCUGAUUGUUUAAAUGCUUGUUUUUUGUUUUGUUGUUGUGUACUGCCCAGAGCCUUUGGAUAGGGCAGUGUUAAAAUGUAAGAAACAAGCAAAUAAAUGUAGAGGGAGGUUUGACCCGUUGACUCCA